This is a non-coding RNA of Pelobates cultripes (western spadefoot toad), 571 nucleotides long. The record is from the annotation of a GenBank genome assembly. Lineage: Eukaryota; Metazoa; Chordata; Amphibia; Anura; Pelobatidae.
UAUAUAUAUAUAUAUAUAUAUAUACAUACCAUGCCUUUUAAGAUUUUGGCAAUGACUGUGAAAUGCUAAUUUCACAGUAAAUUGGAACUUUAAUUUUAUAAAAGGAGAAGAAAAAAAGUCAAGCUAGAUUAUUAAAGAAAAUAGAACCGGCUAGAGUGGACUAAUUUUUGAUUUAGCAAUAAUUUGUGAAACAUCAAUUUUCUGAAGUAUUUAUACAUAUGUGUUCUAUGCUACUCCAAGAGAAAAUACCGUAAGUUGCAGACUUAAGAAAAUCUCUUAUUGGACAAUUGACGAAAAAAGAAAUUGUCUUUUUUGACUAUUGUUUAUGCAUCAUUAAAUACAAAAAUAAAUAAAAAUUAAACUCUACAGUUGUCGCUAUAUUGAUUUGAUAAUUAUGUAUGUUUUUGUGUUCUGUAAAUGUUGUAAUUUAUAUCUGGUAGAGCUGCACAGUUUGCAUCCAAUUUCUCUGCAAUGGAGACCAAAAUUUUAUACAACAUGCAUAUUAAGGAGAAGUACGCACACAAAAAUAACUUUUAAAUGCACCUGACAGUAUGGCAAGUGGAACAUAUAC